Molecule: ribosomal RNA, 363 nt
Filed under: uncultured Rhodocyclaceae bacterium
Lineage: Bacteria; Pseudomonadati; Pseudomonadota; Betaproteobacteria; Rhodocyclales; Rhodocyclaceae
Description: bacterial SSU rRNA
Rfam family: Bacterial small subunit ribosomal RNA
Source: RNAcentral
CGCAAGAGAGCCGGAACACAGGUGCUGCAUGCUGUCGUCAGCUCGUGUCGUGAGAUGUUGGGUUAAGUCCCGCAACGAGCGCAACCCUUGUCAUUAGUUGCCAUCAUUUGGUUGGGCACUCUAAUGAGACUGCCGGUGACAAACCGGAGGAAGUGGGGAUGACGUCAAGUCCUCAUGGCCCUUAUGGGUAGGGCUUCACACGUCAUACAAUGGUCGGUACAGAGGGUUGCCAACCCGCGAGGGGGAGCUAAUCCCACAAAGCCGAUCGUAGUCCGGAUCGCAGUCUGCAACUCGACUGCGUGAAGUCGGAAUCGCUAGUAAUCGUGGAUCAGCAUGUCACGGUGAAUACGUUCCCGGGUCCUU